GAGAGUAUAGCUCAGUGGUAGAGUAUGUGCUUAGCAUGCAGGAGGUACUAGGUUCAAUCCCCAGUACCUCCA
Molecule: transfer RNA, 72 nt
Filed under: Camelus bactrianus (Bactrian camel)
Lineage: Eukaryota; Metazoa; Chordata; Mammalia; Artiodactyla; Camelidae
Also listed under: 3 other names
Rfam family: tRNA
About the family: Transfer RNA (tRNA) molecules are approximately 80 nucleotides in length. Their secondary structure includes four short double-helical elements and three loops (D, anti-codon, and T loops).
Source: Rfam by way of RNAcentral